This is an RNA transcript of Spinacia oleracea (spinach), 7258 nucleotides long. It is a transcript of the gene named callose synthase 11, with no coding region annotated. The record is from RefSeq and is a predicted model, not a curated record. NCBI's taxonomy places the organism in Eukaryota, Viridiplantae, Streptophyta, Magnoliopsida, Caryophyllales, Amaranthaceae. The transcript is spliced from 4 exons.
ACAGAAAAACAUGAAUACUACCUUCACUUUACUCAACACAAAACACACGACUGCUAACAGUCAAUCUUUCGUCUCCCCCUCCACUUCCACUUCCCCCACUUUCUCUCUCCUCCAUUUUCUCUCUCUUCCGCCAUUAACACACUCACUUCAACUCCCUUUUCCAAACUAUAACUGCAAUUCCCCUCUUUCUCUGAUGCAACUCUAAAAUUCCACCCAAAAAAGCAAUGAAUCGCCGGCCAAGAGAGAACCCCGCGCGCGCGUUCCCAAACGCGCCGCCUCCUCAACCACCUUCUACAACCACAUACCAACCAUUCAACAUAAUCCCAAUCCACGACCUCUUAAUAGACCACCCAUCAACGCGCUACCCCGAAGUACGCGCCGCCUCUUCAGCUCUACGCGCCGUCGAAGACCUCCGUAAACCCCCGUUCCACACGUGGUACAACCACUACGACCUCCUUGACUGGUUGGGUCUAUUCUUCGGCUUCCAAAACGACAGCGUUCGGAAUCAACGGGAGCACCUCGUCCUUCACUUGGCUAACUCUCAAAUGCGGAUGACCCCACCUCCUCAAAACGCCGCCGUUUUGGACUUCAACCUUGUGCGAAAGUUUCGGAAAAAGCUUCUGGGCAACUACUCCUCUUGGUGCUCGUAUGUGGGGAAGAGGUCGCGGGUUCGAUUCCACGCAUUCAGAAAAGGUAACGAUGAACUCCGGCGGGAGUUACUGUAUGUAUCUCUUUACUUGCUAAUUUGGGGUGAGUCUGCUAAUUUGAAGUUCAUGCCUGAAUGUAUUUGUUAUAUUUUUCAUCAUAUGGCUCAUGAGCUUAACUUAAUUCUUGAUGACCGUGAUGACCCGGAAACGGGUAGACCUUAUUUGCCUAUAAUUAGUGGGGAGAAUGCGUUUUUGAACCAUGUUGUUAAACCACUUUACGACACGAUUAAGGAUGAGGUAGGGUUUAGUAAGGGUGGGAGGAAGCCACAUUCCGCGUGGCGGAAUUAUGAUGAUUUGAAUGAGUUUUUUUGGAGUAGGAAGUGUUUUAAGUCCCUUAAAUGGCCUUUGGAUUUGAGUAGUAAGUACUUUUCGACGGCCAGUAAAGGGACGAGGGUAGGGAAGACGGGGUUUGUGGAGCAACGGUCGUUUUGGAAUGUGUUUCGGAGUUUUGAUAGGUUGUGGGUGAUGUUGGUGUUGUUCUUACAUGCCAUGGUUAUUGUUGCCAUGGAGGGGACCACGUGGCCGUGGGAUGCAUUAGGGAGGAAGCAUGUUCAGGUGAAGUUGCUUACCGUUUUUAUCACGUGGGCGGGGCUUAGGCUUAUCCAGGCUGUCCUUGAUGCAGGGACUCAGUAUAGUUUGGUGACUCGAGAAAAGUGGUUGUUGGGUGCGAGGAUGGUACUUAAAAGCAUGGUGGCUGUGGCUUGGAUUGUUGUGUUCUCUGUGUUCUAUGCUAGGAUUUGGAGUCAGAAGGAUAGGGAUCGCCGCCUUCGUGGGAGGUGGUCAUUCGAAGCAGAUCAAAGGAUAUUUAUGUUUCUUAAGGCGGCUUUUGUGUUUGUCAUCCCGGAAUUGUUGGCAUUGGUUCUUUUUGUUCUUCCGUGGAUCAGGAACUUUGUAGAGGAGGUCAAUUUUCCUUUGCUGUACAUGGUAACAUGGUGGUUUCAUAGGCGAACGUUUGUGGGUCGUGGUGUGAGGGAAGGAUUGUUCAACAACAUUAAGUAUUCUUCAUUUUGGGUUAUAGUUUUGGCUUCAAAAUUUGCAUUUAGCUAUUUUCUUCAGAUCAGGCCGUUGAUAGCCCCGACAAGGGCCCUCUUGAGGAUGACGGGCGUUCCGUAUAACUGGCAUGAGUUUUUCAGUAACACAAACCGAAUAGCAGUUGUGUUGAUGUGGCUUCCUGUUAUUGUUAUUUAUCUUGUGGACAUACAGAUAUGGUAUUCUGUCUACUCCUCAAUGGUUGGUGCAUAUGUUGGAUUAUUCUCGCAUUUGGGUGAGAUUAGGAACAUUUGGCAGCUCAGGCUUAGGUUUCAGUUCUUCGCUAGUGCAAUGCAGUUCAAUCUCAUGCCAGAGGAGCAGCUUCCCACUGUUCCGGUGAUCAACAUCGUGCACAAGCUUAGGGAUGCAGUACAAAGGUUGAGGCUGCGUUAUGGAUUCGGUCAGCCCUACAAGAAGAUAGAAUCUAGCCAGGUGGAGGCAACACGCUUUGCGUUGUUAUGGAAUGAGAUAAUGAAAUAUAUGAGGGAAGAAGAUCUUCUUAGUGACCGGGAAGUGGAACUUCUGGAGCUUUCUCCUAAUUGUUGGGAUAUCAGGGUUAUUCGCUGGCCAUGUAUUCUACUGUGUAAUGAGCUUCUUCUCUCUGUUAGUCAGGCGGAAGAGACGGCAAAUAAUCAAGACAGGUGGCUUUGGUAUAAGGUAUGCAAGAGUGAGUACAGACGGUGUGCAAUCAUAGAGGCCUAUGAUAGCAUCAAAUAUUUGCUGCUUCAUCAAGUUGUUAAGUAUGGUACCGAAGAACAUUCAAUUGUUACUAGAGCUUUCCUCGAGAUGGAACACUAUAUGGGGAUUGAGAAGUUUACUGCAUUCUAUAAGUUGACUUUGCUACCGAAGAUUCACAAGAAAUUGGUAACUCUUACAGAGCUCCUGCUGAGUCCCCAAAAGGAUACUAAUGGAAUAAUAAAUGUGUUGCAGGCGUUAUAUGAGCUUUGUGUUCGUGAAUUCCCGAGAGUUAAGAGGACGGUGGAUGACUUGAGGGCGGAAGGUUUGGCACUUCAAAAUCCCGCCACAGAUGCAGGAUUUCUUUUUGAGAAUGCUGUUGAACUUCCUGAUGAGGAGGAUGUGUUCUAUUACAGACAGCUGCGUCGUUUGCAUACGCUUAUGACUUCUAGGGAUUCUAUGCACAAUGUACCUGUAAAUAAAGAGGCCAGAAGACGCAUUGCCUUCUUCAGCAACUCUGUGUUCAUGAACAUGCCCCACGCUCCUCAGGUGGAGAAGAUGAUGGCCUUCAGUGUAAUGACUCCUUACUAUGAUGAAGACGUAAUUUACGGGACCAGCAAACUCCAAAGCCCGAACGAGGAUGGCAUUUCCAUCUUGUUCUAUCUGCAGAAAAUUUAUGAGGAUGAAUGGAAUAAUUUCAUGGAGCGGAUGAGGAGGGAAGGCUUAGAAGACGAGAGAGAAAUUUGGACGACGAAGGUCAAGGAACUACGUCUUUGGGCGUCUUACCGAGGCCAGACUCUUUCUCGUACUGUGAGGGGGAUGAUGUAUUAUUAUCAUGCGCUCAAGAUGCUCGCUUUUCUGGAUUCAGCAUCGGAAGUGGAUAUAAGGGCCGGAAGUCAACAAAUUGCCUCACAUGGUUCAUUGACUCUGAGUAACAACUGGGAUGGAUUAGGCUCAAUCAGAGUUCCAUCUUCACGCAACCUUGGAAGAGCACCUAGUGGUAUGAGUAUCCUAUACAAAGGCCAUGAGUUUGGGACUGCUAUGAUGAAAUUCACUUAUGUGGUAACUUGUCAGGUAUAUGGGAUCCACAAAAUGGCAGGGGACUCGCGUGCUGAGGAGAUCUUGUAUUUAAUGAAAAAUAACGAGGCUCUUCGAGUUGCUUAUGUUGACGAGGUACACCUGGGGAGGGAUGAAGUGGAGUAUUAUUCGGUUCUUGUCAAGUAUGAUCAGCAGUUGCAGAGAGAAGUGGAGAUAUAUAGAAUCAAGCUGCCUGGUCCUGUGAAGUUGGGAGAAGGAAAACCCGAGAAUCAGAAUCACGCAAUUAUCUUUACUCGAGGUGAUGCUCUUCAAGCAAUUGACAUGAAUCAGGACAAUUACUUUGAGGAAGCUCUUAAAAUACGCAACCUCUUGGAAGAAUUCAACAUAUACUAUGGGAUCAGGAAGCCAACCAUUCUCGGAGUUAGAGAAAACAUCUUCACAGGUUCUGUGUCCUCUCUUGCUUGGUUCAUGUCUGCUCAGGAGACGAGUUUUGUCACUCUUGGUCAACGUGUUCUGGCAAAUCCUCUCAAGGUGCGUAUGCACUAUGGUCACCCAGAUGUGUUUGACAGAUUUUGGUUUCUUACUCGUGGCGGAGUGAGCAAGGCUUCUAAAUUGAUAAACUUGAGUGAGGACAUAUUUGCUGGUUUCAACUGCACGCUUCGAGGUGGUAAUAUAACACAUCACGAGUACAUACAGGUGGGUAAAGGAAGGGAUGUAGGGUUGAAUCAGAUUGCCAUGUUUGAGGCUAAGGUUGCUAGUGGGAAUGGGGAGCAAGUACUCAGCAGGGAUGUGUAUAGGUUGGGCCAUCGGCUGGAUUUCUUCCGAAUGCUUUCAGUCUUCUAUACCACAGUUGGUUUCUAUUUCAAUACAAUGAUGGUGGUGAUUUCUGUCUAUACCUUUUUGUGGGGCCGACUGUAUCUUGCUCUUAGUGGUGUGGAGGAUCAUGCCGUUAGAAAUAGCAGCAAUAAUGCAGCCCUAGGUGCUAUUGUGAACCAGCAGUUUAUCAUUCAAAUCGGCCUCUUCACUGCUCUCCCGAUGAUUGUAGAGAAUUCUCUGGAGCAUGGUUUUCUUCCAGCAAUAUGGGACUUCUUGAAAAUGCAGUUGCAGCUAGCGUCCUUGUUUUACACCUUCUCAUUGGGAACUAGAUGCCAUUAUUUUGGCCGAACAAUUCUUCAUGGAGGUGCUAAAUACCGACCUACUGGACGUGGUUUCGUUGUGGAGCAUAAGAGUUUCUCGGAGAACUAUAGACUUUAUUCUCGAAGCCAUUUUGUGAAGGCGAUUGAGCUUGGGGUAAUAUUGAUUGUUUAUGCUUCUCACAGCCCACUGGCCACGAAUACAUUUGUAUACAUAGUCAUGUCAAUCUCUAGUUGGUUCCUUGUAGUUUCAUGGAUUAUGGCGCCAUUUGUUUUCAACCCAUCUGGCUUUGAUUGGUUGAAGACUGUGUAUGACUUUGAAGAUUUCACAACCUGGAUAUGGUACGGUAGUGGAGUAUCCACUAAGGCAGAGAGGAGCUGGGAAACCUGGUGGUAUGAAGAGCAGGAACAUCUAAAAACUACUGGUUUAUGGGGGAAGUUAUUGGAGAUCAUAUUAGACCUACGUUUCUUCUUUUUUCAGUAUGGCAUUGUAUACCAGCUCCAUAUUUCUGGUGGCCAUACCUCUAUUGGCGUGUAUUUGCUUUCUUGGCUCUACUUUUUUGGACUUGUUGCGAUAUGUGUAAUCAUAGCAUUUGCUCGGGACAAGUAUGGUGCUACAAAACAUAUCUACUUCAGGAUGAUUCAGUUCUCUGUCAUAUCUGUCACUGUAUUGGUGAUGAUCAUUCUAUUUAGAUUCACGAGGUUUCAAGUUCUCGAUCUCCUGACUAGUUCUCUGGCAUUCAUCCCUACGGGCUGGGGCAUUCUUUUAAUUGCUCAGGUGCUCCGUCCCUUUCUGCAAACAUCUAUUGUCUGGGAUACUGUGGUUUCCUUGGCUCGACUCUAUGAUUUAACAUUUGGCAUCAUCGUUAUGGCUCCCGUGGCUUUCUUGUCUUGGAUGCCUGGAUUCCAGUCAAUGCAAACUAGGAUCCUUUUCAAUGAAGGUUUCAGCAGAGGCCUCCAAAUUUCUCAACUUCUUACUGCCAAAUGAUGAAUCACUUUUUUUAAUGUGAAUAGAGAUUUUGCACCAUCGGAAGUGUAUGGAAGUGAAUGUAGAUAGACAUGCAAUAUGUUUCUUUGAUUGAGGAAGCUGCUGUUUGUAUCACUUGAUUCACCCUUCACCGCGAACCUAAAUGAAGGAGGAAGUUAUCUUAGAGCAUCCAAUUAUGGCGUAACACUAAAUUUCUGCAUUACUAUUUUCAUGAUUUUGUCAAACGACUGGCUGGAUAGUAUCAGUUCUUCGACAAGCAAUAUAUCUCACAAUCUCUCCUCAGUCUUUUUUGGACUAAAUCUGGUUGCAAGUCCUAUCUGAAGUCUGAUUGUAAUGCCUAAGGAUAAUUUAUCGCCAGGUAGUUGUUUUAAGCGUUUAAUUGCACUAGGAGUUUUGUUGUGUUAUGUGCUGUGUUUUAGGUGUGUCCUCCUGUAGUAGUUUUUCUCACACACACACUACAAAAAGUGGAGCAUUGCUAGAUUUGUUGUAAAUAAUUUUAGGAUUGUAUCUAUGCAUUUGAAGAAGGAACUAGUCCUUCCGUUUGGAAUUAGUGUAACAUUAUGAUUAUGAUAAGAUUUCACAAAAAAAAAAGGCUGUUGCGUUAUUUCAAUCCAUUUGCUGGGAUUUUCACGUCACUCUUCUCUGUUGCAUUUCUUGUCUCUUGAUUUCACAGUUUACUUUUGUUUUUCUGAACAUGAGAGUUCCUGAUUCAAGUUUGUAAUGGACGUUGUGGUUAUGGACUUAUGGAUUUGUUUCUCUGCAAAGGCAGGAAUAGUAUUUAAUUGUCUUGCAUGUUUGGGAAAGCAAGGGGAUAUAAUUCAAAUAUUUUCCCAAACUUCAAUCUUAACUAUAAAAUGUCUGCUUAGAUUCUGGUAACGCCCUUUUAUAGUGGCAACAUAUUAGAUUCUUUUUGUUUCUUCUGUCAUUCAGGUAAAUCAGGUCUUCAGUGUUGUAACAGUGUUUCUGCAACUUUUACGCUUACAACUAAUACACAGCAAGCCUUGCAGUAGUAGAAGUCAUGUCCUAUGUGGUUGUUUCAACGUGAAGUUCAAUGAUACAACUAAGAGUCUAAGAGUAUAACAGUGCCUUACAGACUUACAGUAGUAAGGUCUAUCUUUAGGUCAUCAGUAGAAGUUAUGUUCUAUGUGGUUGUUUCGGCAUGAAGUUCAGUGAUACAAUUGAGUAUAAUAGUGCAUCAGAAAGUUCUUUCGGCUGUGGAUGAAGCUGGGAUUUGGAGAGUAGCGGAUAUCAAUUGGCAACAAAGGUCUUCUUAUAGUCUGCUCUAAAGACAGGAGAAAUUCAAAACAACAGUCAGCUCAGUCGGUGUAGCUGCUUCAAAGUCGAACAUAUCUUGUGUUUCAGAAAUCUAGUAUUGAUAGUCUGGAAAACCACCUCCGGAGAAUGCAGAUGAGUAGCCUAUCAGGAAAUGUUCAGCUGCUUACGUCUGAGCUGAUAAACAGUGUUGACACCUGUUUGUUUGCUGAUCUACGGCUCUACGUGAAAUGUGUGAUGCUUAUAGACGAAAUCCUCCCGGUGGAUGCUACCUGAGAUACUUUGAAACCAUUUUUGUUACUUGAUCAAACUAUAGCGAGGUGCAUUAAGUAAGAUGCAAAACAAGUUAGUGUAUUUUUAGCUAUCUUAUUUGCAACCAUGUUUUAUGGCAGUCAUCCAUUACGCACAUUCAUUCA